UACGUAGGUGGCAAGCGUUGUCCGGAUUUAUUGGGCGUAAAGCGAGCGCAGGUGGUUUAUUAAGUCUGGUGUAAAAGGCAGUGGCUCAACCAUUGUAUGCAUUGGAAACUGGUAGACUUGAGUGCAGGAGAGGAGAGUGGAAUUCCAUGUGUAGCGGUGAAAUGCGUAGAGAUUAGGAAGAACACCAGUGGCGAAGGCGAUUCUCUGGACUGUAACUGACGCUGAGGCUCGAAAGCGUGGGGAGCAAACAGG
This 252-nucleotide ribosomal RNA is filed under the name uncultured bacterium. RNAcentral's name for it is "partial 16S ribosomal RNA". It matches the Rfam family "Bacterial small subunit ribosomal RNA", at positions 524 to 776 of the family's 1533-position model. The record is from RNAcentral.